GAUGAACGCUGGCGGCGUGCUUAACACAUGCAAGUCGAACGAUGAAAGCGGGAGCUUGCUCCUGCUGGAUUAGUGGCGAACGGGUGAGUAACACGUGAGUAACCUGCCCUUGACUCUGGGAUAAGCGUUGGAAACGACGUCUAAUACCGGAUACGACCUUCGGAGGCAUCUCCUGGGGUGGAAAGAAUUUCGGUCAAGGAUGGACUCGCGGCCUAUCAGCUAGUUGGUGAGGUAAUGGCUCACCAAGGCGACGACGGGUAGCCGGCCUGAGAGGGUGACCGGCCACACUGGGACUGAGACACGGCCCAGACUCCUACGGGAGGCAGCAGUGGGGAAUAUUGCACAAUGGGCGCAAGCCUGAUGCAGCAACGCCGCGUGAGGGACGACGGCCUCGGUUGUAACUCUUUAGUAGGUAAGAAGACGAAGUAGACGGUACC
Molecule: ribosomal RNA, 437 nt
Filed under: uncultured bacterium
Lineage: Bacteria
Description: bacterial SSU rRNA
Rfam family: Bacterial small subunit ribosomal RNA
Source: RNAcentral